UCACUGGAGCUAUGAGGACUAAAUUAUAGCCAAAGGACUUUGAAAGACCCAAGUGACAAACCAUAGGCCUAAGAGACCUAAUUAAUUUGAUAAUAAAGUGGUAAGGAUAGUGGUUAAAUGAGUCAGAAGACAGGCAUCACUGGCUACUUUAUGGAAGAUAACAACACUAAAAUGGAAGACAUAUGAAGUUGGAGAAAAAAUGAGAUAGCAGUCAAGUGAGAGAGUGGACAAAGAACUGAUAAAGUUUAGAGAGAAGAUGAUAACUCCUCACUGAAAACGACCAGAGACAGUAUAUAUAAAGAAGGUGAAUGUUUUCAUUUGUGCUCAGUAAAACAUUACUAGUA
Mastomys coucha (southern multimammate mouse) is the source of this 344-nucleotide long non-coding RNA. RefSeq lists it as uncharacterized. NCBI's taxonomy places the organism in Eukaryota, Metazoa, Chordata, Mammalia, Rodentia, Muridae. The record is from RefSeq and is a predicted model, not a curated record. The transcript has 2 exons.